Molecule: ribosomal RNA, 654 nt
Filed under: uncultured beta proteobacterium
Lineage: Bacteria; Pseudomonadati; Pseudomonadota; Betaproteobacteria
Description: bacterial SSU rRNA
Rfam family: Bacterial small subunit ribosomal RNA
Source: RNAcentral
GACGACGAGUGGCGAACGGGUGAGUAAUACAUCGGAACGUGUCCGCUCGUGGGGGACAACCAGCCGAAAGGUUGGCUAAUACCGCAUGAGUUCUACGGAAGAAAGAGGGGGACCCGCAAGGGCCUCUCGCGAGCGGAGCGGCCGAUGACUGAUUAGCCAGUUGGUGAGGUAACGGCUCACCAAAGCAACGAUCAGUAGCUGGUCUGAGAGGACGACCAGCCACACUGGGACUGAGACACGGCCCAGACUCCUACGGGAGGCAGCAGUGGGGAAUUUUGGACAAUGGGCGCAAGCCUGAUCCAGCUAUUCCGCGUGUGGGAUGAAGGCCCUCGGGUUGUAAACCACUUUUGUAGAGAACGAAAAGACAUCUUCGAAUAAAUGAUGUUGCUGACGGUACUCUAAGAAUAAGCACCGGCUAACUACGUGCCAGCAGCCGCGGUAAUACGUAGGGUGCGAGCGUUAAUCGGAAUUACUGGGCGUAAAGGGUGCGCAGGCGGUUGAGUAAGACAGAUGUGAAAUCCCCGAGCUUAACUCGGGAAUGGCAUAUGUGACUGCUCGACUAGAGUGUGUCAGAGGGAGGUGGAAUUCCACGUGUAGCAGUGAAAUGCGUAGAUAUGUGGAAGAACACCGAUGGCGAAGGCAGCCUCCUGGGAC